This 292-nucleotide unclassified non-coding RNA is filed under the name fungal sp. RNAcentral describes it as "partial internal transcribed spacer region". The stretch from base 1 to 46 matches the Rfam family "Eukaryotic small subunit ribosomal RNA", at positions 1786 to 1831 of the family's 1831-position model. Lineage: Eukaryota; Fungi. The record is from RNAcentral.
AAGUCGUAACAAGGUUUCCGUAGGUGAACCUGCGGAAGGAUCAUUAUCAACGUUAUCCACGUUAACCAACUGUGAAUCUGUUUGCUCCCUUCGGGUUUGAGCAACCCUGUACUUAGGAUUCUUUCCUUUUUACAGGUGGUUUUUAAUUAAACCUAUCAUUAACCAAUUGAACCCUUUGCUAAUACACUUAUGUGCUUAUUUAUGUGUUUCUUUACCCCUUCACAAGAGGGGAAAGAAAUCAAUAAUAUACGAAACAUAAGAACAACUCUUAGCAACGGAUAUCUUGGUUCUC